RNAcentral lists this ribosomal RNA (467 nucleotides) under uncultured bacterium. RNAcentral describes it as "partial 16S ribosomal RNA". It matches the Rfam family "Bacterial small subunit ribosomal RNA", at positions 28 to 506 of the family's 1533-position model. The record is from RNAcentral.
GACGAACGCUGGCGGCGUGCUUAACACAUGCAAGUCGAACGGAAAGGCCCUGCUUUUGUGGGGUGCUCGAGUGGCGAACGGGUGAGUAACACGUGAGUAACCUGCCCUUGACUUUGGGAUAACUUCAGGAAACUGGGGCUAAUACCGGAUAGGAGCUCCUGCUGCAUGGUGGGGGUUGGAAAGUUUCGGCGGUUGGGGAUGGACUCGCGGCUGAUCAGCUUGUUGGUGGGGGAGUGGCUUACCAAGGCUUUGACGGGUAGCCGGCCUGAGAGGGUGACCGGCCACAUUGGGCCUGAGAUAGGGCCCGGACUCCUACGGGAGGCAGCAGUGGGGAAUAUUGCACAAUGGGCGGAAGCCUGAUGCAGCACCGCCGCGUGCGGGAUGACGGCCUUCGGGUUGUAAACCGCUUUCGCCUGUGACGAAGCGUGAGUGACGGUAAUGGGUAAAGAAGCACCGGCUAACUACGU